GAUGAACGCUGGCGGCGUGCCUAAUACAUGCAAGUCGAGCGAACGGACGAGAAGCUUGCUUCUCUGAUGUUAGCGGCGGACGGGUGAGUAACACGUGGAUAACCUACCUAUAAGACUGGGAUAACUUCGGGAAACCGGAGCUAAUACCGGAUGAUAUUUUGAACCGCAUUGUUCAAAAGUGAAAGACGGUCUUGCUGUCACUUAUAGAUGGAUCCGCGCUGCAUUAGCUAGUUGGUAAGGUAACGGCUUACCAAGGCAACGAUGCAUAGCCGACCUGAGAGGGUGAUCGGCCACACUGGAACUGAGACACGGUCCAGACUCCUACGGGAGGCAGCAGUAGGGAAUCUUACGCAAUGGGCGAAAGCCUGACGGAGCAACGCCGCGUGAGUGAUGAAGGUCUUCGGAUCGUAAAACUCUGUUAUUAGGGAAGAACAUAUGUGUAAGUAACUGUGCACAUCUUGACGGUACCUAAUCAGAAAGCCACGGCUAACUACGUG
Molecule: ribosomal RNA, 497 nt
Filed under: uncultured bacterium
Lineage: Bacteria
Description: partial 16S ribosomal RNA
Rfam family: Bacterial small subunit ribosomal RNA
Source: RNAcentral